RNAcentral lists this ribosomal RNA (253 nucleotides) under uncultured bacterium. Its description in RNAcentral is "partial 16S ribosomal RNA". It matches the Rfam family "Bacterial small subunit ribosomal RNA", at positions 524 to 776 of the family's 1533-position model. The record is from RNAcentral.
UACGGAGGAUCCAAGCGUUAUCCGGAUUUAUUGGGUUUAAAGGGUGCGUAGGCGGAUUGAUAAGUUAGAGGUGAAAUGUCCGAGCUCAACUCGGGAACUGCCUCUAAUACUGUUGAUCUAGAGAGUAGAUGCGGUAGGCGGAAUGUAUGGUGUAGCGGUGAAAUGCUUAGAGAUCAUACAGAACACCGAUUGCGAGGGCAGCUUACCAAUCUAUAUCUGGCGUUGAGGCACGAAAGCGUGGGGAGCAAACAGG